Molecule: long non-coding RNA, 667 nt
Filed under: Dermacentor andersoni
Lineage: Eukaryota; Metazoa; Arthropoda; Arachnida; Ixodida; Ixodidae
Description: uncharacterized LOC126517609
Source: RNAcentral
ACGCUUUGUCUAUAUGGUGACUUUUGCCCACCGCACAAAGGAAAGCUUUAAUAUGGACAGGGUAGAGCAACACUGAUACAGAAGACACACUCAGCGAAAAAGCCAUCGCGGGCAGCACAUGUAAAAUGCAUGACGAUUUGCACAGACGAAAUUUAUCUAAGUUGUUGUAGGAGCCGUUCACGCAUAAAAUACACCAAUGUGAUAGACCAUGAAACGGCGAGUUUCUACCCAAUAGUUAAACAUUCUUGUCUAUGUUUCGUAACUCACAGAGCGCCGACAUCGAGAGCGAAGGGAACCAAAUGCCAACGCCAGUGACACAACCUACCGGAAGGACACGCCCACCAGCUCCGGAAGUACACGCACCGAGAGAAGACACCGACUAUGAAAACAUUGAAAUGCCGACGCCACUGCGGAAUAAUGACGCGGCUGGUGGAAAACCUGCUAACAGACAUGAGGAGGUAAGGAGAGAAGAUAGCGCAGGCGUUUUGAUUUUUACUUGGUAGGAACUAAUCUACUGAGGUGGAGAGUCAUUUCCUGUACUAGUCACUAGUGAGCAGCAUUAAACGUGGUUGUUUUGAUCUUGAAAAGCGAUGUGAUCACUGUUUACAUGCAUUUAAACGUAGGUUGCGAAAGUAGAACGGUGUUGUUGAGAGUUCGAUUUCUGGCG